GUGAAGAGGAGGAGAAGACAUCACUAAAGGACACAGAAUUCACUCAAAGGAGCUGUCAGGCUGACAAUUCCUGGCUGACUCAGUUUCCAUAUGCCCAGCAGUCUCCGUAGGAGGAUUUCUGCCUCUGGUCGACUCAACACGGACAAGGGGACUCUCUUUUUCUCCCAACACAGCCCAGCGGCUGCUGCUCGCCUAAUGAGAUUAUGCCCAGCUGCUAGAGCAUCUCCUCAAGAGUGGAUGGGACCAAUUAGUCUGCGGUCCUCCCAAAAGAGAGACAAUUACCACAGUGUGUCAGACUCCAAGGCGCAGCCACAUGGAUUCCAUGUAUGCCACUGAGGCGUGUUCUGUCUGCUGACAGCAUGUAAGCCUUACCC
Molecule: long non-coding RNA, 374 nt
Organism: Melanotaenia boesemani (Boeseman's rainbowfish)
Lineage: Eukaryota; Metazoa; Chordata; Actinopteri; Atheriniformes; Melanotaeniidae
Exons: 3
Source: RefSeq, a predicted model, not a curated record